This 253-nucleotide ribosomal RNA is filed under the name uncultured bacterium. RNAcentral describes it as "partial 16S ribosomal RNA". It matches the Rfam family "Bacterial small subunit ribosomal RNA", at positions 524 to 776 of the family's 1533-position model. The record is from RNAcentral.
UACGUAGGGUGCAAGCGUUAAUCGGAAUUACUGGGCGCAAAGCGUGCGCAGGCGGUUGUGCAAGUCCGGUGUGAAAUCCCCGGGCUUAACCUGGGAAUGGCAUUGGUGACUGCACGGCUAGAGUGUGUCAGAGGGGGGUAGAAUUCCACGUGUAGCAGUGAAAUGCGUAGAUAUGUGGAGGAAUACCGAUGGCGAAGGCAGCCCCCUGGGAUAACACUGACGCUCAUGCACGAAAGCGUGGGGAGCAAACAGG